CUAAUACCGCAUAACAACGAAAACCACAUGGUUUUCGUUUAAAAGAUGGCUUAUGCUAUCACUCUGGGAUGGACCCGCGGUGCAUUAGCUAGUUGGUAAGGUAACGGCUUACCAAGGCGAUGAUGCAUAGCCGAGUUGAGAGACUGAUCGGCCACAAUGGAACUGAGACACGGUCCAUACUCCUACGGGAGGCAGCAGUAGGGAAUCUUCCACAAUGGGCGCAAGCCUGAUGGAGCAACACCGCGUGAGUGAAGAAGGGUUUCGGCUCGUAAAGCUCUGUUGUUGGAGAAGAACGUACCUGAGAGUAACUGUUCAGGUAGUGACGGUAUCCAACCAGAAAGUCACGGCUAACUACGUGCCAGCAGCCGCGGUAAUACGUAGGUGGCAAGCGUUAUCCGGAUUUAUUGGGCGUAAAGCGAGCGCAGGCGGUUGCUUAGGUCUGAUGUGAAAGCCUUCGGCUUAACCGAAGAAGUGCAUCGGAAACCGGGCGACUUGAGUGCAGAAGAGGACAGUGGAACUCCAUGUGUAGCGGUGGAAUGCGUAGAUAUAUGGAAGAACACCAGUGGCGAAGGCGGCUGUCUGGUCUGCAACUGACGCUGAGGCUCGAAAGCAUGGGUAGCGAACAGGAUUAGAUACCCUGGUAGUCCAUGCCGUAAACGAUGAGUGCUAGGUGUUGGAGGGUUUCCGCCCUUCAGUGCCGGAGCUAACGCAUUAAGCACUCCGCCUGGGGAGUACGACCGCAAGGUUGAAACUCAAAGGAAUUGACGGGGGCCCGCACAAGCGGUGGAGCAUGUGGUUUAAUUCGAAGCUACGCGAAGAACCUUACCAGGUCUUGACAUCUUGCGCUAACCUUAGAGAUAAGGCGUUCCCUUCGGGGACGCAAUGACAGGUGGUGCAUGGUCGUCGUCAGCUCGUGUCGUGAGAUGUUGGGUUAAGUCCCGCAACGAGCGCAACCCUUGUUACUAGUUGCCA
RNAcentral lists this ribosomal RNA (972 nucleotides) under Limosilactobacillus rudii. Its description in RNAcentral is "bacterial SSU rRNA". It matches the Rfam family "Bacterial small subunit ribosomal RNA", at positions 163 to 1120 of the family's 1533-position model. Lineage: Bacteria; Bacillati; Bacillota; Bacilli; Lactobacillales; Lactobacillaceae. The record is from RNAcentral.